Non-coding RNA from Chrysemys picta bellii (western painted turtle), 4100 nucleotides. NCBI's taxonomy places the organism in Eukaryota, Metazoa, Chordata, Testudines, Emydidae. The record is from RefSeq and is a predicted model, not a curated record.
CCUAUAUAAUAGAGAGAGUAGAGUUCAGAGAAUGAAGGGGAGACACACUCAUUUAUCUGUUAAAGUUAAGCUUUAUCUGCUGGACUCUUCAGAAUUUGCAGUCUGAAAAGACCACACUGACGUCAACUCAAGUUCUAAGACUCCUGAACUAACUUCCUUCCUUUGAGUCCUGCAUUUAAAACACUUGUUAUUUCACCCAUUCCCCAAAGUCAAAUCUGAUCCCAAGUUGCUGCUAACUCUUGAAAGCAGCAUAAUACAGGGAGAGCGAUUUUCAGGAAUAUUGUUCCCUCUUAAAGGCCCAGCUUUCAGAACUCUAUGGAUAUUCCUAUAGGAACUGAGGUGUGGAUCAGACCUGUCAGCAGCUAAAUGUCAGAGAAAGUUGUGGGCACAUUUUAAUAUAUAUGCAUGCAGAACACAAACAUUCCUAUUGGAUUAAUUUUACCUCAUCGUUGAGCCAGUGAUGGUUCCUCAGUGUCUGGAUAUCCCCACGGGUGACCUUUAAUUUAAAGGCGCUGCUCAAGAUCUCAUCCUCCUGGCCAUGGCCUAAUGCAUUAGUGAUUUCUCUUUCCAUGUCCUGAAAUGAGCAAUUCCACAAUGUGACUAGUGAGAAAGUCCUGAACUAGGGUGUAUGUUGAGCAGGCCAACUGGUGCAUCACACUAAGGAUUUAAGGGAAAUCCAGUAGAGGAUUAAGCCUGCUAAAAGGAGGAAGAGCUUGACCAUACAGUGACACUGGGAGGCCAAGGAUACCAGUGUUCGUUUCAGAGCAGAGGAUGGUUAGCUUUGGUAGCUUUUUCUGUUAAGUUUGUACAUGAAGCCUAAGGUACUACACACAGAUGCCUGCACUUCAUGCUAUUUACUUGGAUGGUUACACUUUUAAGCUAUUUUAAGUGGCGCUUCAGUCAUUUUGAUUUAUCAGAUUACCCCAGCUCAGAACCAUGGAUAUGUUUACACUGGCUCUGGUUUGGAAGUUCAGUCAUUUUCUUAAGGAUUAUAAGGGAUAAUGGGAGUUUAAGAGGCUUGAGAGAAUUCAAUAAACACUAAAACCAGUAUUGCAAAUGUUUCACAGUCAAUCAGUGUAGUUCAGUCAGAAUAAGAGAUAGGUAUCAUGCAGAAAUAGAAAAACACAAAACAUGCACGUCAGCAGACAGAGCACAGCUGAAGAAAGGACAAUAAAAAAAAAGUAAAGUUUCAAAGAGAAAACCACCCGUCCCCCAUGCAAUAUUGUGGCCCUUGUGAUCCUCAGUCAGCCAGCUAACCAUCACUCGGUUUAACUGGAAUGGGGCUGAUAGCAGAGCAUUCUCGGCUCAAACUCAUUUCUCACCUUUAGUUUACAAGAGAGUCUAGAUUUGUGGUGUCCCAAAGGUCACCACGAGACUAACCUAAUUCUCCCAGACAUAUCUGAAUGGGAAUGAAAGGGAACAUUAUAGUGGGCUGUAUUGGAGGCCACGUUGACAGUCAGGAAGUCUGUAUUUUGUAUCUGAUCAUACACACUGUUAGAGCUGUCAUGGAUGCAAAGAGAAGUCUAAGUAAUGUUUAGUUUCAUUGCUGGUAGAAGAUGGAUUUUGAUCUGUGGACCAAAAAUAAAUAAAUUCUAUUUUUGAUUGAGCUGAACUAACAAACAAGGAAAAUGCCCUUGUCUCUUCUAUUGUAGCAUCUACCAAGGUAUGCACAGAAAGUAAUCAGGCAGUUUAUAAAGGAAUGAGCAAAAGCAUCCAUUUGUUUUGCUAGCUCCCUGCAAAUCAGAUGUCAGUGGAUUGGCAAGAAUGGCCUGAUUCGAAGUGAUUAGAAGGUACGAAUAGCAGACAAAAUUUACUUUAGAAGAGGCACCUAGAAUCCCUGAUCCCUUUUAAACAUGGUCAGUACAUUAGCUAAUAUCAGGUGGGCACACAAAAAGAACCUGCAAAAAAGCCCAAAUGAUUCCAUCCAUUUUAGUUCAUCUCUCCAAACCAGAAAGCCAAAAAAGGCAUGGUACCUCCGUGAGCUCAGGAAGGCGCUCUGUACUCUUCUCUGGGCCUGGGCACUUCUGUUCUUUCACCACAAGUGCAGUUGGCCUUCUGGCUACAGCAGAGCUCCUACUGCCCAGACAUAACCGAACUGACACCUCCUUUGACAGGUCAGCCUCCAGCCAUCUCUGUUAUACAAAAGGAAGCUCAAUAGCAUUUAAACAGGAAGUUAUGAUUUGUUGCAGUGCAUAAUGUGAGUCUUAUUCAAAUAUCAAAUGAAAGCACUCAGCAAAUACUCCUGACCGUCAGAUUCCAUACUUAUCGAAUUAAACACUCAGUCUAGCUCUCAUUCGGAGUCAGGCGAGGUAUUGCUAGGAUUGAGCACACUUCCAUUAAAUGUGCCAAUUUUCAAAUGCUUUAGACCAGGGGUUCUCACACUUCAUGGCACCACGACUCCCUUCUGACAACAAAAGUUACUAUACGACCCCCGGAAGGGGGACCGAAGCCUGAGCCCACCUGAUCCCUGCCACCUGGAGGGCGGGGGAGGGGAAAGGAGAAGGAGAAGCUGAAGCCCAAGGGCUUCAGCCCCAGGCAGGGGGCCUGCAAUUUCAGCCCCACCGCCCAAGGCUGAAGCCCCAGAUAGUGGGGCUCGGGCUUAGGUUUCGGCCCCAGGCGCCAGCGAAGUCUAAGCCAGCCCUGGCUACCCCAUUAAACAGGGCUGCGACUCACUUUGGGGUCCUGACCUACAGAUUGAGAACCACUGCUUUAGACUAAAAUUAAGUAUCAGGGGGUAGCCAUGUUAGUCUGUAUCUACAAAAACAACAAGGAGUCUGGUGGCACCUUAAAGGCUAACAGAUUUAUUUGGGCAUAAGCUUUCGUGGGUAAAAUCCUCACUUCUUCAGAUGAAGAAGUUGUUAGGAUUUAGUGUUAACCCACUGCAGUUAAGUGGGUGAGAGGAAAGUGUUUCAGGCCACUUUCAGACUCAGGAAGACAAUCACAGAAAUGUAUGAGUGGAAGGGACCUCAAUAGGUCAUUCUAGUCCAGUCCCCUCCUCUGAAGCAGGAUUAAGUAUUCAUCUGACAGGUGUUUGUCUAACCGGUUCUUAAAAACCUCUAAUGAUGGAUAUCACAUUCUCCCUAGGUAAAUUUGUUCUGGUGCUUAACUACCGUUACCUUAAAGUUUGGAAGUUUUUCCUAAUGUCCAACAAAUCUCUCUUGCUGCAAUUUAAGACCAUUACUUCUUGUCCUGUCCUCAAUGGAUACAGAGAACCAUUUAUCACCCUCCUCUUUAUAACAACCUUCUACAUAGUUGAAGAAUAUGUUUCUGUUAUGUCUGCUCUUCUCCAGAUUAAACAAACCAAAUUUUUCCAAUCUUCCCUUGUAGGUCAUGUUUCCUAGACUUUAAUCAUUUUUGUUGCUCGCCUCUGGAGUUUCCACACUUCCCAAAGCAUGGUGCCAAAACUGGACACAGUACUCCGACUGAGGCCUUAUCAGUGCUGAGUACAGCAGAAUUACUUGUGUCUUGCUUACAACACUCCUGAUAAUAUAUUUCAGAAUAAUUGGGUGUUUUUUCACAAAAGUAUUAUGUAGUUGACUCUUAGUUUGUGAUCCCCCAUUACCCUCAAAGCCUUUUCUGCAAUACUUCUUCCUAGGCAGUCGUUUUCCAUUUUGUAUUUGUGCAAUUGAUUAUUCCUUCCUAAGCACAGUACUGUGCAUUUGUCCUAAUUCAAUUUCAUCCUAGACCAUUUCUCUAGUUUGCCAAGAUCAUUUUGAAUUCUAAUCCUGUCCUUCAGAGCACUUCCAACCCCUCCCAACUUGGUAUUGUCUGCAAAUUUUAUAAAAGUGUACUCUCUGCCAUUAUCCAAAUCAUUUAUGAAGAUAAUGAACAGAACUGGACCCAGGAUAGAUCCCUGCAAGAACCCACUCAAUAUGUUCUUCCAGCUUGACUGUGAGCCAUUGGUAACUAUUCAGAGUACAGUUUUUCAACCAGUUGUGCACCCACCUUUAGAAGAUUCAUCUCUAGGCUAUAUUUCUCUAGUUUGUUUAUGAGAAGGUCAUAUGAGACUAUCAAAAGUCUACUACAGUGGAGAUCUAUAGCAACAGUUUAUGUUUGGGAGGUUCUUUGCCACUGUAGAGGGCUACAAAGUUGGUUUGGUU